This 1066-nucleotide long non-coding RNA is filed under the name Linum usitatissimum (flax). RNAcentral's name for it is "long non-coding RNA (LUSI_LNC003373)". Lineage: Eukaryota; Viridiplantae; Streptophyta; Magnoliopsida; Malpighiales; Linaceae. The record is from RNAcentral.
AAUUUCCUUUACUUGCCCAAGUUGGUAGAAACAAAAGCUGAUCUGUUACAUUUUGGACCCCCUUCCCACUAAUGGAAGCCAGAGUCCAGAGUCGUCUAUUUAAGGGACAAGCUAAUUUGAAAGCACAAACAUCCUCAGCAUCAUCUACUCUCUCUAGCAAUAAGCUCUUAACAAAGAAUACAAACAACUGAUCGGAUCAUCUUUCAUUUCCUUGAAAACUAAUAAAAAAUGAAGUUGUUGAGUUUGGGGAAGAGGAUUGUUGGGAGCUCAUCAACCACCGGAACUUCUUCCUCCUCCUCUUCCACGUCAUCAGACAUUUUUGGUGGGCAGGACAAAAAGAUGGCAGCAGUGAUGGGUUCCGUUCCAAAGAAGUUGGUUUAUAAGUUCAAGUCACAGUUGAAGCAGGCUGCUAUUGGUUUCCAGAAGGACAGCGCUACUUCUGCUAAUUACAGCUACGAUAUACAGAGCUAUUCUCUCAACUUUGAUGAUGGUCUCUGCAAAUAAUUAGGAUCAAGUCAAGUGCAUAGGAUAACCCAAUUCCUGUAUAUUGUAUGCUAGGUUAGGAAUUGUAACUGUUCAUCUUAUGUUAUGAAACUAUUCUUCCUUCUUUAGCUAGCAACUAAGAUUCUGGUGUAUACAAUAUUUCUUCAAAUGAAAUCUUUAUCUAAAUUAUGCAUGCGCAAGUAUAUAGUUUUAAUUUUGAAGGUUACGUUAGGCUAACUCCUAAACUUGCAAAAUGUAAGCUCCAAAAAGCACAUCCAACUCAAUUUGCAUAAUACAAGCUAACUUGUUAAAUUUAUAAAAUAUAAGGGCUAAAGUUGCAAAAACAAGAAAAUAUAGAAGCUGCUAAACAAGGCCGCUGAAAUUAUGGAAAAGAAAGGACACAACUUGGCAUUUGGAAAUAUGAAAUUAAUAAAAACAAAGGCAGAUGCUGUGGCGGAUGUGUAUAGCACGCACCAAUCAUUUCAUUACGUGUCAGUGUGUUUGACUCAAACGCUAUCUGAUGUCCACUUACUAUUUAAGUUUUCAUUUUUGCUGUUUUGUGUUUCAUCUUUCAAGUUCUUUG